GAAUGUACCAAGUAUGCUGCUUGGCGUGUUAAGAAAGGGUUGCCUGAGUUACCGAAAACCAAGUGAUGCUGAAAGAUGCAUCUAUGUCGGAGACGGUCAGUCGGUAGAAGUAGAGGCAAUAGGGCACUUUAGAUUAUUAUUGAAAUCUGGUUAUUUUUUGGAUUUAAUAGAUACUUUUAUUGUACCGUCUUUCAGACGGAAUUUAAUUUCAGUUUCUGUUUUGGACAAAUCAGGUUAUUGUUGUUCAUUUGGAAACAAUAAAUUUACAUUAUCUAUUAAUUCAAAUGCUGUAGGAACCGGUUUACUUAAUGUU
This is a long non-coding RNA of Vitis vinifera (wine grape), 313 nucleotides long. RefSeq lists it as uncharacterized. The record is from RefSeq and is a predicted model, not a curated record. The transcript is spliced from 2 exons. Lineage: Eukaryota; Viridiplantae; Streptophyta; Magnoliopsida; Vitales; Vitaceae.